GACGUAGGGCGCGAGCGUUGUCCGGAUUUAUUGGGCGUAAAGAGCUCGUAGGCGGCUUGUUGCGUCGGCUGUGAAAUCCCAUGGCUCAACUGUGGGCUUGCAGCCGAUACGGGCGGGCUAGAGUUCGGUAGGGGAGACUGGAAUUCCUGGUGUAGCGGUGAAAUGCGCAGAUAUCAGGAGGAACACCGGUGGCGAAGGCGGGUCCCUGGACAAAUCCUGACGCUGAGGCACGAAAGCUAGGUGAGCAAACAGG
RNAcentral lists this ribosomal RNA (253 nucleotides) under uncultured bacterium. Its description in RNAcentral is "partial 16S ribosomal RNA". It matches the Rfam family "Bacterial small subunit ribosomal RNA", at positions 524 to 776 of the family's 1533-position model. The record is from RNAcentral.